GUGCCAGCAGCCGCGGUAAUACGUAGGGGGCAAGCGUUGUCCGGAAUCAUUGGGCGUAAAGCGCGUGUAGGCGGCCCGGUAGGUCUGAUGUGAAAACUUGGGGCUCAACCCCAAGCCUGCAUUGGAAACCCUCGGGCUUGAAUCUGGAAGAGGAGAGUGGAAUUCCUGGUGUAGCGGUGGAAUGCGCAGAUAUCAGGAGGAACACCAAUGGCGAAGGCAGCUCUCUGGUACAUGAUUGACGCUGAGACGCGAAAGCGUGGGUAGCAAACAGGAUUAGAUACCCUCGUAGUCC
This 292-nucleotide ribosomal RNA is filed under the name uncultured bacterium. Its description in RNAcentral is "partial 16S ribosomal RNA". It matches the Rfam family "Bacterial small subunit ribosomal RNA", at positions 505 to 796 of the family's 1533-position model. The record is from RNAcentral.